CAUAAUGAAAAUUAUUGUACUAAGGUGGAAUCUCUGUGGUUUUUUUCAUCGGUGAAAGAGAAAAAGAGCCCCCCUGUGUGGUUUCAUUAACAGUAUCAUUCUAGCAUUGCUGUUGUAUAUUAUAUAGAGUUUAUCAGAAGAAAAAAGGACAGUGUCAUCUUGAAGGUCUUGAAGAUUAAGAAUACUCGGAUUCAUACUAGUGCUUAGUCAGAAGUGUGGAUGUAGAUGGAUUAGACUUCUCUGAAAUUGAACGGUGGGAAAUGAGAGAUGGGUAGCUAUUGGAUGAAAGUGUUUUUGGCUUGGACGAUGACUCAAGUGGAUUGUGCGAGUGGUGGUGGUAGAGUACUUGCGAAGAUGAAAUUGGGACAACCACCAGUGUCAUGUGCCCAUCCUAGCAGAAUUGGAUCCAUACUUCCAUGAAAACCUUUCUCUGUAUCUCAAUUCUAAAACAUAUACAAAUAAGCUUUCACUGCAAAAAGCUAUAUAUCGAUCCAUUCAUGUUCCCAUUUCCAAGUUCAAAUCUUUUAGAAUGAUGUGUUAUUAGCCAU
RNAcentral lists this small RNA (548 nucleotides) under Vigna angularis var. angularis. RNAcentral describes it as "Non-protein coding transcript". The record is from RNAcentral. Lineage: Eukaryota; Viridiplantae; Streptophyta; Magnoliopsida; Fabales; Fabaceae.